This is a long non-coding RNA of Trifolium pratense (red clover), 440 nucleotides long. RefSeq lists it as uncharacterized. Lineage: Eukaryota; Viridiplantae; Streptophyta; Magnoliopsida; Fabales; Fabaceae. The record is from RefSeq and is a predicted model, not a curated record. The transcript has 2 exons.
GAAUGGUCUCUUGUUAAUAAAGAAUGGGUUUUUUCACACUAUAAAGUGAUCAAACAAUUUAUUUCAAAAUUCAUAAAAGAAAAAAUAUGGCUAAAGUUUAUAUAUUCAUUUGUGCUAUGAUUAUCAUUUUUUCCCUAUUUAUUUCAAUAACAAACUGUAUAGAACGACUACCUAGCUGCGAAAAGGAUUCGGAUUGUCCAAGAGAUUUGUGUUGGCUUCCUGAUAUUCCAAGAUGCAUGCAUCAAAUGUGUGGAUGUGCCUUGCCCAGUGAUUAAGUUAUCAAUUAUAUGUUCCAAAGAAGCCAUAAAAGUUGCUUCCUAAAAAAAUAAAAAAGAAGCCAUAAAAGUUAAUUAAAGAUAUAGUAUAUUAUGUUAUUUCUACCCAUAUGAUGAUGUUGGUGGUCUUUAUAUGAUUUAUUUCACAGUUAUGUAUUUUUUCUU